RNAcentral lists this ribosomal RNA (107 nucleotides) under Erinaceus europaeus (western European hedgehog). The record is from RNAcentral. Lineage: Eukaryota; Metazoa; Chordata; Mammalia; Eulipotyphla; Erinaceidae.
GUCUAGGACCAUACCACCCUGAAUACACCUGGUCUCAUCUGAUCAUAGAAGUUAAGGAGGGUCAGUCCUGGUCAAUACUUAGAUGGGACACCAAGCAUUUCUAUCAU